Molecule: microRNA precursor, 109 nt
Filed under: Fragaria vesca subsp. vesca
Lineage: Eukaryota; Viridiplantae; Streptophyta; Magnoliopsida; Rosales; Rosaceae
Description: Fragaria vesca miR11304 stem-loop (fve-MIR11304)
Source: miRBase by way of RNAcentral
AAAGAGAUCGCUGCCGAUAGUGUUUCAGCUUGACAAGUUUUGUUUUCCCUUUCACUCAGAUAUUGGGCCAACUUGUCAAUCUGGAUCACUAUUCUGCAGCCAUCCCUUU